AGCAGGCAGAAGGAUUGGGAUGGAGCUACUGAAGCAAGCACUAUUGAAAGAGACUUUCCCAAGCUGGAGUGGGCAGGAGAGUUUCUCAGUUGUUAAGAUCAACUAUAUCAUUUCAAGCCAAGGAGGUUGGGCUGGAAAUCCUGAAGCAGAGUAUAGAGAAAGAGCAUUUCCCUGAUUUGACUGGCCAUGAGAAAUUUUGGCUUGGUAAUGUCAAAUACAACAUCUCAAGGAUACAUGUUACUGCUGUUGAAUUACCCAGUGCUUCCAUCUCCCUCCUACCAGGGUCUGGGAUAAAACUGGUGAUUGGAAAUGCUUCUCUAACCAUUGAUAUGAACUGGAACAUAAGGACCUGGAUGUUCUUCCUGCCUAACUUCUUUAUCAAGUAUCUGAAGAAGCCCAUUCACAGGAGCUUGGUCACUAAUUCGUGUCCCAAUAUCAGAGCUGGGGUCCAGUUGAUAGAUGGAGACCUCCGAUCACCGAAUGCUGUAAUGCAGAUUGAUGAUUUGGCUGAAGUGGACUACUCCUUAAGUGGCUUGCCAGCAGUAUUCCAACCAUUCAUUGACCUGGACUCAAAGACCUGCAGCUAUUUUAAUAUAAACACAGAGAUAUUUAGCAGUAUCAUCCCUGAGGUAGCUAAAUAUUCAGUUACACCCUACCCAGUGAUGUUGAAGCUAAUGCCUACUGAAAUCCCUAUCAUCAGCUUACAGCAGAAUUCCUUCAUGGUAGAGAUUCAGGGCUCUGUGGAGGUGUUGGCCAUUCUGCCAGACUCAACCACCCAGUCUCUGUUCACACUGAACAUAGUAAGUACAACAAACAAG
RNAcentral lists this long non-coding RNA (818 nucleotides) under Serinus canaria (Common canary). Its description in RNAcentral is "lncRNA (ENSSCAG00000003905.1)". The record is from RNAcentral. Lineage: Eukaryota; Metazoa; Chordata; Aves; Passeriformes; Fringillidae.